GACGAACGCUGGCGGUGUGCCUAAUACAUGCAAGUCGAGCGGAGUUAGAGAAGCUUGCUUCUCUAACUUAGCGGCGGACGGGUGAGUAACACGUGGGCAAUCUGCCCGUAAGACUGGGAUAACUCCGGGAAACCGGGGCUAAUACCGGAUAAUCCUGACUCUCUCCUGAGAGUCAGUUGAAAGAUGGUUUCGGCUAUCACUUACGGAUGAGCCCGCGGCGCAUUAGCUAGUUGGUAGGGUAAUGGCCUACCAAGGCGACGAUGCGUAGCCGACCUGAGAGGGUGAUCGGCCACACUGGGACUGAGACACGGCCCAGACUCCUACGGGAGGCAGCAGUAGGGAAUCUUCCGCAAUGGACGAAAGUCUGACGGAGCAACGCCGCGUGAGUGAAGAAGGUUUUCGGAUCGUAAAACUCUGUUGUUAGGGAAGAACACGUACGAGAGUAACUGCUCGUACCUUGACGGUACCUAACCAGAAAGCCACGGCUAACUACGUG
This 496-nucleotide ribosomal RNA is filed under the name uncultured bacterium. Its description in RNAcentral is "bacterial SSU rRNA". It matches the Rfam family "Bacterial small subunit ribosomal RNA", at positions 28 to 507 of the family's 1533-position model. The record is from RNAcentral.